RNAcentral lists this ribosomal RNA (700 nucleotides) under Pimoa vera. RNAcentral's name for it is "SSU rRNA". It matches the Rfam family "Eukaryotic small subunit ribosomal RNA", at positions 1010 to 1728 of the family's 1831-position model. The record is from RNAcentral. Lineage: Eukaryota; Metazoa; Arthropoda; Arachnida; Araneae; Pimoidae.
AGAUACCGUCCUAGUUCUAACCAUAAACUAUGCCAGCCAGCGAUUCGGCUGUGUUCCUCAAAUGACACGCCGGGCAGCUUCCGGGAAACCAAAAGCUUUUGGGUUCCGGGGGAAGUAUGGUUGCAAAGCUGAAACUUAAAGGAAUUGACGGAAGGGCACCACCAGACAUGGAGCCUGCGGCUCAAUUUGACUCAACACGGGAGAACCUAUCCGGUCCGGACACAGGAAGGAUUGACAGAUUAAGAGCUCUUUCUUGAUUUUGUGGGUUGUGGUGCAUGGCCGUUCUUAGUUGGUGGAGCGAUUUGUCUGGUUAAUUCCGAUAACGAACGAGACUCUAGCCUAUUAAAUAGACGUCCCUAUGUCUUUUACGAGUGGGGCGGUCUUCUUAGAGGGACAAGCGGCUUUUAGCCGCACGAGACAGAGCAAUAACAGGUCUGUGAUGCCCUUAGAUGUCCGGGGCCGCACGCGCGCUACAUUGAAGGAAUCAGCGUGUGCUUCCCCGGUUCUACCGGACCGGGUAACCCCUUGAAUCUCCUUCGUGCUGGGGAUAGGGGCUUGUAAUUGUUCCCCUUGAACGAGGAAUGCCCAGUAAGCGCGAGUCAUUAGCUCGUGCUGAUUACGUCCCUGCCCUUUGUACACACCGCCCGUCGCUACUACCGAUUGAUUGUUUUAGUGAGGUCUUCGGACUGGCGCCCGGCUU